RNAcentral lists this ribosomal RNA (274 nucleotides) under uncultured bacterium. RNAcentral describes it as "partial 16S ribosomal RNA". It matches the Rfam family "Bacterial small subunit ribosomal RNA", at positions 523 to 796 of the family's 1533-position model. The record is from RNAcentral.
AUACGGAGGGUGCAAACGUUGUUCGGAAUCAUUGGGUUUAAAGGGUCCGCAGGCGGGAAAAUAAGUCAGUGGUGAAAGCCUACAGCUCAACUGUAGAACUGCCAUUGAUACUGUUUUUCUUGAGUAUAGAUGAAGUGGGCGGAAUAUAUCAUGUAGCGGUGAAAUGCAUAGAUAUGAUAUAGAACACCGAUUGCGAAGGCAGCUCACUAAACUAUUACUGACGCUCAGGGACGAAAGCGUGGGGAGCGAACAGGAUUAGAUACCCUAGUAGUCC